Long non-coding RNA from Brienomyrus brachyistius, 295 nucleotides. RefSeq lists it as uncharacterized. The transcript is spliced from 2 exons. Lineage: Eukaryota; Metazoa; Chordata; Actinopteri; Osteoglossiformes; Mormyridae. The record is from RefSeq and is a predicted model, not a curated record.
GGAAACGAGGUGUGUGCCUAAUUAAGUUUUGGAGGGGAGUGGCCAAUCGGAGAGGGCGCUCAGACUAUAAGGGUUACCCUGGCACCAAUGUUCUAGGCUCCUUGUCGGCGGUCACCUUAAUUGCUGGAUCUCCUGUUCGUCUGCGGACAUUUUACCUUGGUCCCGGCGCCCAGCCUUAGAUCGGCAGGAAGUGGCUGCUGGUACGCGGCGGUGCUCCAAGCUUACGGUGCUGGGAUCGACUGAUUACUCUUUUUAUGGUUUUAUUGUGUAAUAAAAGUGUGUGUGUUUGGAACAA